RNAcentral lists this long non-coding RNA (880 nucleotides) under Olea europaea subsp. europaea. The record is from RNAcentral. Lineage: Eukaryota; Viridiplantae; Streptophyta; Magnoliopsida; Lamiales; Oleaceae.
ACCUUUCCUUUACUUUUAUUUUUCCUUUUAAUUAUUUAAAAUGCACAAUAGUAUUAUAGUCAUUUUAACAAAGUCAUAGGCACGUAGAUUUAGGGCCAGACCGACUACUCCAAGAGCGCUCAUCCAUAAACCGAUUACUGGUACAAAUAACAUAAAGAAAUGUAACCAACAUUUAUUGGAAAAAGCAACCCCAAAGAUUUGGGACCAAAAGCAAUUAGCGGUGACCAUUGAAUAAGUUUCUUCAGCUUGAGUUGGGUUAAAGCGCGGAAUGUAUUUGCACCAUCACCAUCUUCAAAUAAAGUCUUUUCUAUGGUAGCACCAUGAAUAGCGCAUAGCAAAGCAGCACCUAAUACACCGACAACUCCCACCAUAUGAAAUGGGUUUAGCAUCCAAUUAUGAAAUCCUUGAAAAAAGAGGAUGAAUCGAAAUAUAGCUGCUACGCCAAAACUAGUGCAAAGAACCAACCAGACUGACCUAAUGGAUAAAUCAGGAAUACAGAAACAAAAACAGCAAUUAGACCAGAGAAUGCGAUUGUAUUAUAGGGUUACGAUUGAACAGAUCGAGCAAGUUCGAAUUGAUGUAACAUGAAACCUAUUAGUCCGAAAGCGCCAUGGAGAACAACAAAAGUCCACAGACCGCCUAAUUGACACCAACAAGUAAAAUCUCCUUGUGUUUCAGGACCCACAGUAACAAUAAAGAAUACUCUAAAUUAUUAGCAAAAGUAGAAACUGUGACUGUUAAGAAAUUACAGCCUUCCAAAUAGGAACUGGCCAAUCCAUCGGUAUACUAUGAAGGUACAAAGGUUGUACCUGUGAACCAAUCCCCUACAACGAAAUAGGUAUAAGGAAAGAGCAAUAGACAGGACCAGCCAAAAAAAACA